GUUUACUUCAGGAAAAGAGGGAAAAAAUCCUGUCAGUUGCCAUCGUGAAUGUAGUAUUUAGUGGUUAAUUUGGGGGAGUUAAAUCGUUGUGUAUGAAUACACAUUAAGUUUUGUAUUAGACUCAAUAAUGGCUGGCCAGGACUAAAGGUUUUUGCCCAAUUACACAGCAGUUACAUGACAAUCGAGAGGAAUGAGACGCUUAGCAGAGGCUUAUGACUGACAUCUAAUAGACAAGUCAUCUUUUCUACAUCAUCAAAAAUCCAUAUGAAGCAUUGCCUUUGGACAAAAUCUACACUCAAUAUCUACAAUGUAAAAGAAUCACUCUAGAACCCUAACAUCUAGCAUUUCUUCUCUUUGUCCUUUUCAGGAAACUCAAAAAGUUUCUAUGCAGAACCCUGACAGAGGGUUUUCUUUAUAGAAAAGGUUCUUUAAAGACCCCUUAAACAAUCAUCAAGGAAUGUUUUUUUUUUCUCCAGAAGUGUUAAUAUUUCAUGACAAGUUAGCAAAGCUGUCUUUCGAAAGUCUUGCUGCUCUCAUGGGUAGUGACUUCUAUACUUACUGUAAAAUGAAAUAUGAAUGGAUGCCCCUUUUGCCUACGGAUUGAUCUUGCACUGUGUUCCUGGAACUCAAUCAAAGUCCGACUCACGCAGAGAUUAUUGUAGCUCUGCACAUUGAUGUUUGUCUCAUUUUAGCUCUGUAAAAGGAGUGUAACAUUAUCAGACUAAUUACAGCACUGCACACACAAGUGCACAGUGUGAAAAUGGAUGGUCACUGUCUCAGCCCUUGUCUGACUGUCAUCUCCCUGAGAUGUGUCCUUGUGUUUACAUUCUUCAUGAUAAAUCAGAAUGGAGCUAGCACUGCCUCAAGAUGGCUGUAAAAUUCCAGAAGUGGUUAGUGGUUGAGAAGUGGCAAUAAACAAAUGGGAGAGGCUUCCAUGAUCAGGCAAACCCAGGAAUAAAUAUUUGUUAUGAUGUGUUAAUGAUGGUAUCCGUGAUACGAAAAUCUGAAAUAGUUAUGGCAUUACUAUACCACAGUGCUUUUGAAUGCUUAAUUCUCAUUGGUCAGAAGGUGCUUCUGUAAAAGCAGCUCUGAUAGUACUACUGGCUGCAAAGUUUACAUUAGUGUGCUUGUUCUAAUAUGUGCUUGUUCUAAUGACAUCUUCCACAAGGACUUGUAUGGAAGAUUCUGUACAUAAACAGAUUUUAAAAAGGUUUCGGUGAGGAGACAUUUAUUUAGCAUUUUUUGGAAACACUCCACAUUGUCCUGGCUUUGUAACAGUCAGAGGUAAAGCUGUAGCUUUAAGUUUUCCACAAUGGGUCUUCACCGUGAGUUCUUUUCAGUCCGCUUUUCAAUUUCUUGGUAAAGUGUUGAGACAAAUAACAGCAACUAUCUUGUUUUGCUGAUGUUCCACAACAUUAAACAUAACUAUGAAUUAAUAAAAAAGUAUGUUAGGCUUUAUCUAAAAUACGAUAGGGUCAUCACAGCCACUUAACUCGCUUAACAGUUGCCAGUUGGCGCACAGAGGAGGGUCAUGGGUAAACGUGGCACAUGGAGAUGUGCUACUGUGCAGUCAUCCCUCAAAGUGGCGGCGUGUUGUGCGUAUCUUCGUUGCUAUGCAUCUGGUGAACGCCGCUUGCUUAGUGGAAUGGUGUGUUGGUUACGUAGACGGAAAUGGUUUGAUGCAACGUUGUGAUAUUUGUUCUGCGAGUUUAAUCAAAUUCAGAUUAAUAUAGUUUAAUUCAGAGUAAUACUGUUCAAAAUACAUCUGAAGUGUAAAGAACAAAAUGCUAAACAAUAAAGUGUAAACAAUAAAAUUUUCCCUCAUCACAUCCAGAACUUUUCGUCUUCUUUAGACAAGCUCAUGCCCCAAGACAUGUGCUUGUGCUCAAAAACCUUAAAAUAGUUUGCGACAAAAAUGUUUGAAAACACGCCAAAAAAAAACGUCUAAUCUUAUUCACUCUGAUAUUUUCUCAGACUGGUGUCUUUAAUAAUAACUUCUCCUCUAUGAAGAAACUCUCACACUGAGCAGCCAGCGUAAAUGAACACAAACAAGUUAUUUCUCCUGUGUUUCAUGUUUUCUUCACACAUCCAUAUCGAUUUCUUAUGUUACACCUAACACCACACAAACACAUCAGACCAUUGUGGUUUCUUCGGGUUUUUAAAUGGGCACCCUUCCUCACUGGUGUUUUGUAAAUGUAAUCCCAAAGCAGAACCAGUAUCCUGGAACUGCUCUAUCCACCACCCCAGCCAUGUCACUGUCAGCUCUGCCCUGCCUCAUUGUUGCCAGAUUGAUUUUUCCAUUGCUCUCUUCUGUUCAGCCGCAGCGUUCAGCAUUCACUCUUGUAAAAUUGAGUAGCAUUGUCCCAAAACAGCUUUACAGAAAUAAACACAUUUCAAAUUAAUUUAAACCAAAAAAAAUGGUAAAUAUGUGAAUUUAUCCCUAAUAAGCAAGCCAGAGGUGAGGGUGUAAAGGAAAAACUCUCUGAGAUGAUGUGAGGAAGAAACCUUGAGAGGAACCAGACUCAGAAGGGAACUCAUCCUCAUCUGGGUGCUUACUGAGUGCAAUUAUAAAUAAAUUCCUUCUAUAACUGUGUACUACAUGGACAAAUAGUGCGAUUGUGCAACCAGUAAACUCAUCACAGUUUUCACAUGAAGUCCGGUUUGUUGAACUUAUCCACUCUCCACUGAUGUAGACGUGAGUACAAAACUGCUCGUGGCAACUACAGCCCCAAAGCCACCACAGCAAUCACAGACCCAAGCCAUCACAGUACAACUCCCCAUAUAAGAUCCCCAAGCCAUCUCCACGGCCCCCAAGUGGCGCCAACACCAGCAAUCCUAAUGAUCUUCAGGCUGUCCACGUGGGGCCACCGCCAGCAGCAGCGAGAGAUCUCCAACUCAUGAGAGCUCCAUCCAGAAGUAAGGCAUCAGAAUGGAUCAGGCCAGUCCGGAGAGCAGGAGGGAUUAGUAUCACUGGUAUCUCAGGAGUAGCAUGUGUAGCUUGACAGAGAGAGAGACAGAGAGAGGGAGGGAGAGGGAGAGAUUGUUAGGUAAGCUUUUGUCCCAUAAUGGUUAAGGACAAUGUACUUUGUGUGCAGAGUGCAAGCAGGGAUUACGGGAAGACUAGCUGUGACAGCAUAACUAAAAGGGAGAGCCAGAAGGUAACACAGGCAUGAGGGCACCCUGGGACAUAAAGCGGCCAGCCACUCCACCGUCGACAAACCUGAGUGAACAUGUGAGAGUGGGGGGGCAACGGCAUCCAAACACCCCAGUUCACCACAACACUCUAUGCCUGUGAACCCUCCAGACCUGCUCCUUUACCUAAGAAAAAAACUAUUCACAAAAGGCUUGACUAAACAGAUAUGUUUUCAGCCUUGACUUAAACACAAAGACUGUGUCUGGGUCCCGAACACUAAUCGGAAGGCUGUUUCAUAACUAUGAGACUUUGUAAGGAAGCUCUACCCCCUGCUGUAGCCUUUGCUAUUCGAGGUACCAACAUAUAGCCUGCACCUUUUGAUCGAAGUAGGUGUAGCUGAUCAUAAAAGAGCAAAAGUUUGCUCGGGUACUGCGGCGCGAGACCAUUCAGUGCUUUAUAGGUCAAUAGUAGUAUUUUAUAAUCAGUACAAAAUUUGAUUGGGAGCCACUGCAUUGUGGAUAUGAUAGGGGUGAUGUGGUCAUAUCAUCUGGUUCCAGUAAGGACUCUUGCUGCUCCAUUCUGGACUAACUGGAGCUUGUUUGUGCAUCUACUGGAACAUCCAGACAGCAAGGCAUUACAGUAAUCCAACCUAGAGGUAACAAAGGCAUGAACUAAUUUUUCUGCCUUGUGUAUUAUAUUUCUUAUCUUAGCAAUAUUUCUGAGAUGAAAGAAAGCUAUCCUAGUAAUAUUAUGUACAUGAGCUUCAAAUGAAAGACUGGAGUCAAUAAUCACACCAAGGUCUUUUACUGCUGCGCAUGAUGAAACAGAAAGGCCGUCCAGGGUUACUAUGUAAUCAGAAAGCCUACUUCUAGCUGCAUGUGGUCCUAGUACAAGCACUUCUGUCUUGUCAGAAUUAAGUAAGAGAAAGUUAAUAAGUGUCCAGUUUCAAAUGUCCUUUACACAUUCCUCAACUUUAUUAAGCUGGUGUCUGUCAUCUGGCCUUGCUGAAACGUACAACUGUGUGUCAUCAGCAUAACAGUGGAAGCUAAUACCAUGUUAAUGAAUUAUUUUGCCCAGAGGUAGCAUAUAUAAAGAAAAGAGCAGUGGGCCUAAAACGGAGCCUUGCGGAACACCAACCUUUUUCUUAGUAUGUGUAGAGAAGUCACCAUCUACAAACUGAUAACGAUCAGUCAAAUAAGACCUGAGCCAGGAGAGGGCCGUUCCCUUAAUGCCUACAACAUUUUCUAGUCUAUCGAGGAGAACAGCAUGAUCAGUGGUAUCAAAAGCUGCACUAAGGUCAAGCAACACAAGCAAGGAGACACAACGCUGAUCAGAGGCCAGUAGUAGGUCAUUUACCACUUUAACCAGAGCUGUCUCUGUGCUAUGAUGAGGCCUAAAUCCUGACUGAUACAUUUCAGGAAUGUUAUUCCUAUGUAGGUAUGAGCAUAACUGCUGUGAAAACAACAUUUUCUAGG
Long non-coding RNA from Pangasianodon hypophthalmus (striped catfish), 4608 nucleotides. RefSeq lists it as uncharacterized. The record is from RefSeq and is a predicted model, not a curated record. The transcript has 3 exons. NCBI's taxonomy places the organism in Eukaryota, Metazoa, Chordata, Actinopteri, Siluriformes, Pangasiidae.